Molecule: long non-coding RNA, 2084 nt
Filed under: Sus scrofa (pig)
Lineage: Eukaryota; Metazoa; Chordata; Mammalia; Artiodactyla; Suidae
Description: lncRNA (ENSSSCG00000062749.1, ENSSSCG00090026839.1, ENSSSCG00110000624.1)
Source: RNAcentral
AGAUUUAGGGGCCUGUGGGUACAAUGUAAGAAGCAUACAGCAUGCAUCCCCAAUCUUGUCUGACUGUGUUGCAAGCUUAAUAAACAGCAAGGUUAGAAACUACCGGUCUCAUCCACAGCUCUAACUUGAAAAAUACCUAGCGCAGCGAUGAAGGUCCCCCCCAGGCUAGGAGUGGGGGAAAUGGCUAUGUUUUGUAGAGCUUAAAGGAUGCAGCCUGAGACGGGGUGCAGAGAAGCUCACGCAGAGGCCGGGCCCGAGGUGCACGCAGCCGCCGCCUGAUCCACGCAGACGCUCGAGGACUCACAGUGUGUGGUACGUUCACACAGCUGGGGCUGUGCUUUGGAUGGGCCUGUAGAGGGUAUGACCUGAGCUCACGCCGCGGUGAUGCUGGAUAUGCCACAGUAGCCGGCUGAGAAAGUUUCUCGUUGGUUUUGAUAUUUAGAUGCUUCGGUUUUCCUUUUAUUUAUUUGUUUUUGGCUGGUUGAGUAACUGCAUGUGUUAAUGAUACAUCAGCUCCAACUUUCUUCUGCUCCCUUUGCACCGAGAAGAGCCUCGUAGGCAAUCCAGAUAUUUCAGCCAGAAGCCCAGCCAAGCCAAGGGCAUCAAGCGAAAAGCCUCUUUCUGUUUCUAAAUAGUGUUUUUAGCCUCUCCACUUGUCGCUCCUCAUCUUCCCGUGGUGUCUUGUCGAUUCCAAACUGAUUCCCCGGAGACUCCUUAAGGGGCCUCAUAACCCUACAGAGGAACCUGCGGGGUGCGCUGAAGGAGCCGGUGCCUGUAACCCACGUGGCCCAGCACCUCUCGCUCCUUCAGAGGAGCAGGGCGGACAGUCGGGGGGAAAGGGGACAUUUUUCCAAGUGUCGUUCGUUGGUGAAAUUCCCCUUUACUGUGGAUUUGCACACGGAGAAGCAAAUGUUGAUCAGGCUGUUGCGCCCGUGUUGGACUGGGCCAUGGUGGGCACUUUCGGCUUAUCUUUUUCACUUCUUGCUGUGCCCUUAAAAAAGAAAUGCCACCCCCCAUAGCCAUGAGGACCCGGGGCUGCGGGGGGCGGACAACCAGCCCCGUCACACAGAUUGCACUGAACCCACCCUGAGUGUCCACCCGGAGUCCCCGUCCCGGGCCGGGACAUCUCAGGAGGCCGUUUGUACCCCUCUCGGAAUCAGUCUUGAGACAUGAUUUCAUUAAUUCUCAAUUCCAUUAAGGGGUGUUGGCCACCUUGGCCCUGUCCGGCGACCUGGAGUCACUCAUGUGACCUUUCUGGGCCUCGGGGUGGGUUGCGAAACGCUGCUCUUACAAAUAACGUCAGGGCUGUGAGAGACUAACUCGUAUGUUUAUUUCCCAAACAACUCAUUUUUAAUUGUUCAGGAUUAUACGUUUUUCCAAAGCAUUCUCUCUUUCGUCUCCCUCCCUUUUCCAUGUCAAAGUCAUCAGGGUCAUGUUUUCUGAAUGUUGUCCUUCCCACGCACAUGCAACUGCCAGAGAGAGACGUUUUCACUUUAGUUUUCUUUACCCAAUUCGCAUACGCUCACCGCACAAAAAUUAGGACGUUAGAAUGCACAUAUAGUAGAUAAAAAGUUAAAACACUGGAAACACCAGAAUUCCGUGAUAACUGCAAUUGGUGUCUUGGUUCGGAGCCUUUGGAAUUGUUCUCUUUGCACUGACUUUACCUUAAGAUGGAUCUCACCAUACAUUUUGUUCUUUAGCCCGUUUUUGCUGGACGUAUGGAAUGCCUUGCCCUUUCAGUAAAUACAUUUCGGUAACAUCCGUUUUCUUGGUUACUAGUAUUCCACUUCAUAGCUGUGCUGAAAUAUAUCUAAUUGUUGUAAUUUUUAUUAGCUGGCUUUUUAAAAUUCCACUUUACAAAAAAGUCUUCAUAGCCAGUGCUUUACCUGAAACUCUUGCACUGUUAAUUAUUUCCUUCACAUAAAUUCAUAGCCUUGUUGCCGUGAGCUGUGGUGUAGGUUGCAGACGCGGCUCGGAUCCCGCGUUGCUGUGGCUCUGGCGUAGGCCGGUGGCUACAGCUCCGAUUGGACCCCUAGCCUGGGAACCUCCAUAUGCCGCGGGAGCGGCCCAAGAAAUAGCAACAA